UAGCGUAUAUUAAAGUUGUUGCGGUAAAAAAGCUCGUAGUUGGAUUUCUGCCGAGGUCUACCGGUCCAUACCACGUAUGCGCAUCUGGCUCGGCCUUGGCAUCCUCUCGGUCACACGUUCCUGCGCUUCAUUGCGUGGGGCGGGUUCCGGGACUUUUACUUUGAGGAAAUUAGAGUGUUCACGGCAGGCAAUCGCCAGAAUACAUUAGCAUGGAAUAAUACUAUAGGAUCUCGGUUCUAUUUUGUUGGUUUCUAGAAUUGGGAUAAUGAUUAAUAGGGACAAUUGGGGGCAUUCGUAUCAACGCGUC
Molecule: ribosomal RNA, 307 nt
Filed under: Amoebophrya sp.
Lineage: Eukaryota; Dinophyceae; Syndiniales; Amoebophryaceae
Description: SSU rRNA
Rfam family: Eukaryotic small subunit ribosomal RNA
Source: RNAcentral